RNAcentral lists this ribosomal RNA (403 nucleotides) under Fusobacteriota bacterium. Its description in RNAcentral is "Fusobacteria bacterium partial 16S ribosomal RNA". It matches the Rfam family "Bacterial small subunit ribosomal RNA", at positions 355 to 776 of the family's 1533-position model. The record is from RNAcentral. Lineage: Bacteria; Fusobacteriati; Fusobacteriota.
UGGGGAAUAUUGCACAAUGGAGGGAACUCUGAUGCAGCGACGCCGCGUGAACGAAGAAGGCUUUCGAGUCGUAAAGUUCUUUUAUAUGGGAAGAUAAUGACGGUACCAUAAGAAAAAGCCCCGGCUAACUACGUGCCAGCAGCCGCGGUAAUACGUAGGGGGCUAGCGUUGUCCGGAAUCACUGGGCGUAAAGGGUUCGCAGGCGGAAAUGCAAGUCAGGUGUAAAAGGCAGUAGCUUAACUACUGUAAGCAUUUGAAACUGCAUAUCUUGAGAAGAGUAGAGGUAAGUGGAAUUUUGAGUGUAGCGGUGAAAUGCGUAGAUAUUAAAAAGAAUACCGGUGGCGAAGGCGACUUACUGGGCUCAUUCUGACGCUGAGGAACGAAAGCGUGGGUAGCAAACAGG